CUGCUACUUUCUCAUCUAUAGUUUUCAUUUAACUGCUUGUAAAUACCCUCUAAAGACAUUUGAUCUUCCUGGCUGCCUACAAUUUCUGACUAUCUGGUUAAUGUCCUCCUCUAUCUUGUGUAGAGAUCUUUUUUUAAAAUCAAUCAGACUUUGCAUAUAUUUUUAUAACAUUCUUCACUCGCUAAAUUCCACUCAUCCAUGAGUUCUCUAUUUCCCAAGCCAAAUUGAUUAGAACAUUGCCUCCAUACCUAAGGGGUUAACUUCUAAAUGGCAGAGAAUUGAGCAGUGAGACAUGAUUUCUACACCAAAACUGCUUCAUUAAACUGAAGUUGUUUUUGGUGACUCUAGUGUUCCUUUAAGGAAUACUUGUGUAGACAUUUUGGAGAAAUGGUGGUCUGAUU
Molecule: non-coding RNA, 401 nt
Organism: Pelobates cultripes (western spadefoot toad)
Lineage: Eukaryota; Metazoa; Chordata; Amphibia; Anura; Pelobatidae
Source: the annotation of a GenBank genome assembly